This 46-nucleotide non-coding RNA is filed under the name Schistosoma margrebowiei. Lineage: Eukaryota; Metazoa; Platyhelminthes; Trematoda; Strigeidida; Schistosomatidae. The record is from RNAcentral.
AUCCUGCCGCCGAGUCCAAAAAUGGGACGAAACGCGCAUCCUGGAU